GAGUUCUCCACCACCCUCCAACCAUCAAACACUCCUCCACACUCACCUUAAACCUUUCCAUACCAUUCCCCAUCCAUUCUACACCAUAAAACUACCCAAAACCUGUCCAUAACCCAAUCUGCCGCAAGCAAGGGAAAAGAGGAAUCUUGGAUGCACUUGCUGCCAAGUUGGAGCAUUCUAGGUGUUUUCUUUCUUUGGAUUUUAAUGUCUAAUUCAUGUAAUCUUUGUUUUGCUUUAAGUAUGAUUGGCUAAUUUCGUUUUUGGCUAAGGGUGUAUUCAAAACCAU
RNAcentral lists this long non-coding RNA (286 nucleotides) under Malus domestica (apple). RNAcentral describes it as "long non-coding RNA (MDOM_LNC020051)". Lineage: Eukaryota; Viridiplantae; Streptophyta; Magnoliopsida; Rosales; Rosaceae. The record is from RNAcentral.